GCGCCGGGGCCGCGGAGGCACCGAGGCGCGCCGAGGAGGCGGCUCUGGCCCAGGUCGUCGCAGCAGCACAGGAGGCUGUAGCACAGCACCCGAUGCGUCUGAGUACUGAGCUCUUGGCGAUCCUCUCGGGCAGUCGUUCCCGUUUCCAGUGUUUGGUUCGACUUUCUCGGCUCUGCCGUGCCAGACGCACUGGUAUUGUAAGCAAUACAAUCUGUGUGACAGAGGGGUUCUGAAAGAACCGUGAACUUCUCCCAACACAGAGCACUCAGGUGGUGGCUCUCGAGCUAAUCUGUGUGAGCCAGAGAGGCUGCCCCUCCAAGUCUGGGUCUUCAGCUCUGACAGCUCUCACAUGUGGACCCUGCAGGCAGCAAG
Molecule: long non-coding RNA, 372 nt
Organism: Mirounga angustirostris (Northern elephant seal)
Lineage: Eukaryota; Metazoa; Chordata; Mammalia; Carnivora; Phocidae
Exons: 3
Source: RefSeq, a predicted model, not a curated record